GAAAGGCUUCGGCCGGACAGGGAUGGGCAUGCGGCGCAUUAGGCAGUAGGCGGGGUAACGGCCCACCUAACCGACGAUGCGUAGGGGUUCUGAGAGGAAGGUCCCCCACACUGGUACUGAGACACGGACCAGACUCCUACGGGAGGCAGCAGUGAGGAAUAUUGGUCAAUGGUCGGGAGACUGAACCAGCCAAGCCGCGUGAGGGAUGAAGGUACAGAGUAUCGUAAACCUCUUUUGUCAGGGAACAAAGGCGGGGACGUGUCCCCGGAUGAGUGUACCUGAAGAAAAAGCAUCGGCUAACUCCGUGCCAGCAGCCGCGGUAAUACGGAGGAUGCGAGCGUUAUCCGGAUUUAUUGGGUUUAAAGGGUGCGCAGGCGGUCUGUUAAGUCAGCGGUCAAAGCCCGGGGCUCAACCCCGGCCCGCCGUUGAAACUGGCAGUCUCGAGUUGGAGAGAAGUAUGCGGAAUGCGCGGUGUAGCGGUGAAAUGCAUAGAUAUCGCGCAGAACUCCGGUUGCGAAGGCAGCAUGCCGGCUCCACACUGACGCUGAGGCACGAAAGCGUGGGUAUCGAACAGGAUUAGAUACCCUGGUAGUCCACGCAGUAAACGAUGAAUGCUGGCUGUCCGGGGGGACUGACCCCUGG
RNAcentral lists this ribosomal RNA (642 nucleotides) under uncultured bacterium. RNAcentral describes it as "bacterial SSU rRNA". It matches the Rfam family "Bacterial small subunit ribosomal RNA", at positions 202 to 842 of the family's 1533-position model. The record is from RNAcentral.